CCUUGCGGCCUCGGCGUGACACCGAGGACUAUAUGUCCCAGAAGCCCUUGCGUGGCCCCAGCCCCGCGUGGCCGUGGGUUGCGAUAGGCCCGGCGGCGGGAGCCAAUAGGCCCGGGCGUUGUUGCGGGGGGAUGAUGGCUUUCUUCACAGGCCGCCUGGGCCGCCUCUGGCCUCUGCGUCCCGGGGGCAGAUUCUUCCUGCUGCAGCACGUUACAGCCUCCCCCUCACAGCCCAGGACAAUUUCCAUCCUCUCAGAUGCUUUGGGGCAGCCUCCAAGCACCAGCCUGUCCUUCAGAUCUGCAGGCAUCUUCCAAAGCAUCCCUAGACACCUGUCACCAUGGAGCCUUCAACAAAUACGCACCAAGGCACGCGGGAAUGAAUAUCAGCCAAAGAACCUCAAGCGCAAGCGGACCCAUGGCUGGAUCAAGCGUAUUAGAACUCCCAGUGGGAUCGAGGUGAUCCUCCGACGCAUGCUGAAAUGCAGGAAAUCACUGAGCCACUGAGUGUUGUAGCUGCAGGAUCUGUUGAGCAUGAAAUGUUUCAGUCAAGCCUGAAUAAUCAUCCACAGCUCAGACCUUUAGAGUGAACCAGCCUUCUUCUCUAUGUAACACCCAUGAGCGACUGACUAUUCCCAUCAUGUUAUAACAUGUGGUGAAGAAUUAUUGAGUGCUACUUUGACAGAUGUGGGAUGCUGCUUUUCUUUUCCACUGGCUUCACUUGAUGGCUAAUUAUUUUUAAUGGCAAAAUUAUUACAACUGGUGGGAGUAGUUCUAAGGCAGAUUUUUUGAAAGGAUUACCAGUCUACAACAAAAGCAACUUCAGUAGAUUUCAUGCAGACUCUGUAUGUAAAGCAUCGAACAGAAGACCGUCAGUAUAUCUUCCCACAAGGGAAUAUCCAUCUGAACAAAUCAUAGUAACAGAAAAGACAAACAUACUUUUGCGUUAUCUACAUCAGCAAUGGGACAAAAAGAAUGCAGCAAAGAAGAGAGAUCAAGAGCAAGUGGAAAUAGAAGAAGAGUCCUGACAAAAAUGGAUAUUGAUUCUUCACUUAGAAGAAGUGACAGAAAAUACUGCCAUGCAAUCUGAAAGGAAUGAUCCAUGGUGCUUGUCAGCACUGCAUCACCCUGCACAAUACGGCUGGGCUGGACUUCCAAAUACAUGUGUUUCUUACGACUUAGUGCAAUGUGUAUAGUUAAAAAGGCUUUACUGGGUUUUUUUUAUUAAGACUAAUCUACGUAGUCUCCUUGGUCAGUUGCAUGUAACAGCUGAAUGUAUGGGAUUGGGCCUUAUCUUUCUAGCCAUCCCAAAUUGCUUUUACGUCCGUUACAGUCUGGAAUACAAAAUCCCAGGAUGAUUUUAUUGGCAAUACACAGUGUAUCCCUUGGAGCCUGUAUUACUUACAACCCAUCUUUCUGCUUGUGGACAAGAAAUACCUGCUGCGUUCCAACUCAACCUCUCCCCCCUUACUCUUUUUGCAAACACUGUGUCUGUGGGGCAGGGGGCAAUGUCUUCUCCUGAGGAGUUGCGUGGCGAUAGAGGGGCUGCUGUAAUGGAGCGACUGUAAAUAUUCUGUUCUAGUUGAAUGUCACAGCUGUUGGAUUUUGCAUUUAUUUUUAAACUAUUUCAUGUUUGAUACUGUGUAUAAUAAAUUUGCAGAAAGUA
RNA transcript from Mauremys reevesii (Reeves's turtle), 1662 nucleotides. It is a transcript of the gene named mitochondrial ribosomal protein L34, with no coding region annotated. Lineage: Eukaryota; Metazoa; Chordata; Testudines; Geoemydidae. The transcript is spliced from 7 exons. The record is from RefSeq and is a predicted model, not a curated record.